Cavia porcellus (domestic guinea pig) is the source of this 3047-nucleotide long non-coding RNA. RefSeq lists it as uncharacterized. The record is from RefSeq and is a predicted model, not a curated record. NCBI's taxonomy places the organism in Eukaryota, Metazoa, Chordata, Mammalia, Rodentia, Caviidae. The transcript has 4 exons.
UUAAGUACAGGCAGAGAGAGUUCACAUCUCCCGGGCAGUAACUGCAUAAAGCGUCCUGCACUCUUUCCUCAGGAUGUAGUUAGUGCAUCCUAAUCUUGAGAAAGACCAACUCCCUGAACUUUAAGCCUAGAAAUAAUUAGACAAGAAAAUCCUUCUGUGGAUUUCAUGUAACUGUCAAAAAUGAUGAGUAGUGGAAAAAUUGCUUCAAGUCAGAUUCCUUACUGUCCCUGAACCUUUGCACUGUAUUGUUUAUAGAAAGAAUCUAACGUUCUGCAGCAUGAUAAGGUGAAUCACUGAUGAAACUUCUAAGCCUGGGGAACAGCAUCGAUUGUGGAACAGAGGAUGAGACUUGUCCAGUUCUCCAGAAUCAGGAGACAGAGUUGGCCAGGCCACACAUCUCACACCUGUCCUCGCGCUUGGUGAGGCCGUGACUCUGUGCUCCCUUCAUUACCCUGUGCUGCUCGUGCCCAUUCCUACUGACCGGGUGCAGGGCAUUGUUCGCCAGGCUUGUGACACCCAAGGCCCCUCCAUGAAAGGACGCACCAGUGCUGUUCCAUAGAAACUUUGUAAAACUAACUUUCAUUCUUAAGAAGAAGGGAAAGCACAUGUUUCCUUACUGGGACUGCUGAAGUGCAGGAUGAAUUCCUUGUAGCCAUCUUUGAAACUGACUCCAAGUCUUUAAAGAAGAGGGUGUGGACUGUAAGUAUGUGUGGGAAUCAACAGAUUCAACUCCCUUGAACAUGCAUUGAAAGAACAAAUGAACAGAGGUUGGAAGGACUCUUACAGGACCUACAAUAUCACCAGCCCAAUGUUUCCCAAAACUAAAGUGUUUAUGGUAAAUGUUCUAAUUCUACAAACUCUGUGGAGCCUUUAUGAGAUAACAAGACUCAGUCGUGAAGUGGUAGGCAUUUAAACAAGAAAAGAUUUGGACAGUAACUUAAGAAAUUGGAUCAGCACUUUCCAAUGGAUAAGAACACCAAGAUCUUAAAAAUAGGGGACACAGGAGGUCCAAAUCAGGGUGUGUCUAAGUAGGAACCAUGCAGGUCAUCUCUGUAGAUGUAGUGAAUCAAAAAUGAGGCGCUAAGGGGUCAGGACGGUGCAGGGUCAGACCUUUGUCUCUUAGCAGCUGAUAGAUUGGGUGCCUGCCAGCCAGCUUGGUCACUCGGGAACAGAAUGUAGGGUGGAAAGUUCAGCCACUGGUAGCUUAGAAGUCUAAGGUCAGAGCAGAGUAACUAAUUUUAUCAAGGUUAUUGGACCUAGUUCAAAAUGAAGCCCAAUACCCUAUCUCCUCCCUUGGAAAAAGCAGAAAAUCUAUUUCCUCAAGUUACUUUAAUGUUGAAUACUUCAAAUAUGCAUUUCUAUCUUUAGUGAAGUUAAUUUUUCAUACACUUAACCAAAAGCUAUUGAAAAAUCCAGAUAUUAGCUGAUAUUCAGAGAAAUUUUAUAUACAUGACAAAGUAUAAAAUCAUUGGAUUUCCCCUUGAACAUAAAAACAAAUAACAUUACUAACAUCAGUUCAGAGACUCAUAAAAAGAAGAGUAAUUGCAAAUUUUAACAGCUGAGAAUGAACUACAUGGAGCAUGGAUUCAUUUAGCAGCCUCUGCAGAGAGACACAAUGAAUCAUGAGCAUGUCUCUAUCAAACUCUGAAUAAUAUGUCAGUUUCUAAAAUUGAUCUUGAAUGUAUUCAAGUAGAGUCAUCUCAAGAUACUUCUGAUAUGAAUCUUGUCCUGAGCAAUAGGACUUUUGUGGGGAUGUUUCAACCAGGGGAGUGAGAAACCCUCUGUUCUUUGCAACAGUGACAGUACACAGCAUAGACCACCCUGUUUCACAUAAAGCUGUAAUUACUGGGUGGGCCAAGGAAAUGCUGGUGGAGGAGAGCGUGGAUAAUGGUGAGACUGUGUGGGUCCUUCUGCUGAACAGCUCCUUGAACUUUAUCAGUAUUUUGCCCUUUUUAAGUUUCCUUGGAGGACACAGUACUGGCAGAAUAUUGGCUAUUAUUAAAGCCACAUGGCAGGUAAAAGUCAUUUAUGGUAUUAUUUUUAUUUUUGCUUAAAAUUUUCUAUUAUAAAAUUCAAAACGUUUAUUCAGAGCAGUUCUCAUGAGAUUUUUUUCAGUAAAAAGAACAUUCUCAUUGGCCUUCUCAAUUGAAAACCAAUUAAAUGAAGAGAAAUAGACAUAAACAUUAUUACAUAUACCCAUUAUUAUCUCAAGUUUUAUAAAUUUAUACACAGUUAUUAUUAUGGUUUAUAUCAGAUGGCCCCUCAAGUCUUAUACAAUCAUGGAUGAAGCUGAACCUAUCAUUUAUGAUUGGUUCAUUGUCUAGCAAUGGGAUUGGUGGUGUGAGUGCUACACCCGCCCAGGGGUGGAGCCAGCAUACAGUGUAAGGCAGGAAGAAACCAUAUCUCCCUUGCCUGCCUGGUUCAUGCUUUGCUGUUUGGGGUGGCCAUGAAUGGCUGCCUCCUGCCCAUGCCAUCUUGCCUUGCAGCCAGCUGAGUAUGGACAAAAGCCCCAAGAACUGUAAGAAAUAAACCUUCCCUAACCUAAUUUUUGGCGUCAGGUAUUCUCUCUCAGAAUUAAGAGAAAAGUAACUAAGACACCUAUUAUUUAUAUUUCUAGUUUUUAAGAUAAGUUAAACAAAUGUGUAUCUUCUCUAAAGAGACUAUUUUUUUUCCUACCCAUGCUUAUACACUGAAAAAUUCCAUUAGGAUAUGGAAAAUAGGCACUGAAAAGCCCACUUUCCAUCUAUGGAACGGACUUAGGAAAUGACUCUUAAUUGAAUUCACCCUCCCAAAAAUGCACUUGCUUUUUAUGAUACUGGCUGUAUUUCAUGUGGAAGAACUCCAGUGAGCAUUGAUUCUAGCUUAAUGGUGUGCUCUGUGAUACACAGAGCUGCAAAAUUUCCUGGGAACUCAGAUUCAAGAAGGAAUAGUGCUUGGUUUAGCUACAUAUGCAUCAUUUUCAUUUUAAUUAUUAGCUCUAGCUUGCGAGUUAAAACUAUAAUCUAUGCUCUCUGGUUAAAUAUUUUUAAAUAUCUGUUUGAAAAUUG